Molecule: transfer RNA, 84 nt
Filed under: Kocuria rosea
Lineage: Bacteria; Bacillati; Actinomycetota; Actinomycetes; Micrococcales; Micrococcaceae
Description: tRNA-Arg(ccg)
Source: RNAcentral
UCGACGCCCGGCGGGACGGCGGAGUCGUCCGGGGCCUCCGGGGCCUCGGGCACCUCGGCGAGGUCGCGCUCCUCGACCUCGGAC